GACGAACGCUGGCGGCGUGCUUAACACAUGCAAGUCGAACGGAAAGGCCCUGCUUUUGUGGGGUGCUCGAGUGGCGAACGGGUGAGUAACACGUGAGUAACCUGCCCUUGACUUUGGGAUAACUUCAGGAAACUGGGGCUAAUACCGGAUAGGAGCUCCUGCUGCAUGGUGGGGGUUGGAAAGUUUCGGCGGUUGGGGAUGGACUCGCGGCUUAUCAGCUUGUUGGUGGGGUAGCGGCUUACCAAGGCUUUGACGGGUAGCCGGCCUGAGAGGGUGACCGGCCACAUUGGGACUGAGAUACGGCCCAGGCUCCUACGGGAGGCAGCAGUGGGGAAUAUUGCACAAUGGGCGGAAGCCUGAUGCAGCAACGCCGCGUGCGGGAUGACGGCCUUCGGGUUGUAAACCGCUUUCGCCUGUGACGAAGCGUGAGUGACGGUAAUGGGUAAAGAAGCACCGGCUAACUACGUG
RNAcentral lists this ribosomal RNA (468 nucleotides) under uncultured bacterium. RNAcentral's name for it is "partial 16S ribosomal RNA". It matches the Rfam family "Bacterial small subunit ribosomal RNA", at positions 28 to 507 of the family's 1533-position model. The record is from RNAcentral.